UGUGCACAUUGUUAGAGCUUGGAGUUGAGGCUCCCGGCUGACCUGUGUGCUAUACGAGGAGCAAGAUUUUUGCUAACACUCCACUCCGGCCCAGUGCAUGGAGUUUGAUAUUAAUCCUUGCUACAGGU
RNAcentral lists this small nucleolar RNA (128 nucleotides) under Chinchilla lanigera (long-tailed chinchilla). The record is from RNAcentral. Lineage: Eukaryota; Metazoa; Chordata; Mammalia; Rodentia; Chinchillidae.